AGUGAACGCUGGCGGUAGGCCUAACACAUGCCAGUCGAACGGCAGCACAGUAAGAGCUUGCUCUUACGGGUGGCGAGUGGCGGACGGGUGAGGAAUACAUCGGAAUCUACUUUUUCGUGGGGGAUAACGUAGGGAAACUUACGCUAAUACCGCAUACGACCUACGGGUGAAAGCAGGGGAUCUUCGGACCUUGCGCGAUUGAAUGCGCCGAUGUCGGAUUAGCUAGUUGGCGGGGUAAAGGCCCACCAAGGCGACGAUCCGUAGCUGGUCUGAGAGGAUGAUCAGCCACACUGGAGCUGAGACACGGUCCAGACUCCUACGGGAGGCAGCAGUGGGGAAUAUUGGACAAUGGGCGCAAGCCUGAUCCAGCCAUACCGCGUGGGUGAAGAAGGCCUUCGGGUUGUAAAGCCCUUUUGUUGGGAAAGAAAAGCAGCAGGUUAAUACCCCGCUGUUCUGACGGUACCCAAAGAAUAAGCACCGGCUAACUUCGUG
This 492-nucleotide ribosomal RNA is filed under the name uncultured bacterium. RNAcentral describes it as "partial 16S ribosomal RNA". It matches the Rfam family "Bacterial small subunit ribosomal RNA", at positions 29 to 507 of the family's 1533-position model. The record is from RNAcentral.